RNAcentral lists this ribosomal RNA (253 nucleotides) under uncultured bacterium. Its description in RNAcentral is "partial 16S ribosomal RNA". It matches the Rfam family "Bacterial small subunit ribosomal RNA", at positions 524 to 776 of the family's 1533-position model. The record is from RNAcentral.
CACGUAGGGACCAAGCGUUGUCCGGAUUCAUUGGGCGUAAAGAGCUCGUAGGCGGCUGCUCAAGUCGAAUGUGAAAACUCGAGGCUCAACCUCGAGCCUGCAUUCGAUACUGGGCGGCUAGAGUCUGGUAGGGGGAUCUGGAAUUCCUGGUGUAGCGGUGGAAUGCGCAGAUAUCAGGAGGAACACCGGUGGCGAAGGCGGGAUCCUGGGCCAGUACUGACGCUGAGGAGCGAAAGCGUGGGGAGCGAACAGG